This 351-nucleotide long non-coding RNA is filed under the name Salmo salar (Atlantic salmon). Its description in RNAcentral is "lncRNA (ENSSSAG00000087806.1, ENSSSAG00000089123.1, ENSSSAG00020008483.1)". The record is from RNAcentral. Lineage: Eukaryota; Metazoa; Chordata; Actinopteri; Salmoniformes; Salmonidae.
GGACGAAAUCGUCCCACUGGCCCUAGAGAAGUUAAACAUAGUUAGUAGAUUAAAUAAAUAGCAGUCAUCAGAUUAAUGAAAAUAAAGUCACAACAGCUGUAUUGGUUGGGUAUCAUUUGGCUGAUUAGCCAAGUUACUGACUAGACUUGUUAUAAAUGUUUUUGUUGUUUUUGCAUUUCAGGUUGAGAGGGAGUAAGAUCACUAGAAUACAGCAUGCGUUCAGACCACCACAGGACCCUAGAGAGAAUCACAGGAGAGAAUCACUGGAGAGCAUCACUGAGGACAGGGGAGAAUGACCAUCUACUUCCAAACAUGAGUUGUCCUAUUUGAAUAAACUUAUUUUCCUCCCCC